Non-coding RNA from Gossypium hirsutum (cotton), 142 nucleotides. The record is from Rfam. Lineage: Eukaryota; Viridiplantae; Streptophyta; Magnoliopsida; Malvales; Malvaceae.
UAUUAAAAUUUACAUCCAUUUGUACGGUUAAAAACUGACAUGCAUGACAAAAUACUAGACAAUAACAUGUAGUGUCACUUGUACCUCAUGCUGGCAUACAUGGACCAGUUUUUAACAGUAGAAAUUGAUGGAAAAUUUAACA